UACGUAGGUGGCGAGCGUUGUCCGGAUUUACUGGGCGUAAAGGGAGCGUAGGCGGACUUUUAAGUGAGAUGUGAAAUACUCGGGCUCAACUUGAGUGCUGCAUUUCAAACUGGAAGUCUAGAGUGCAGGAGAGGAGAGUGGAAUCCCUAGUGUAGCGGUGAAAUGCGUAGAGAUUAGGAAGAACACCAGUGGCGAAGGCGAUUCUCUGGACUGUAACUGACGCUGAGGCUCGAAAGCGUGGGGAGCAAACAGG
Molecule: ribosomal RNA, 253 nt
Filed under: uncultured bacterium
Lineage: Bacteria
Description: partial 16S ribosomal RNA
Rfam family: Bacterial small subunit ribosomal RNA
Source: RNAcentral